Molecule: long non-coding RNA, 317 nt
Organism: Mastomys coucha (southern multimammate mouse)
Lineage: Eukaryota; Metazoa; Chordata; Mammalia; Rodentia; Muridae
Exons: 2
Source: RefSeq, a predicted model, not a curated record
GACAUGGUAUUGGCAUGGAGGUCAAGACAUAUUCAACGAUGAGAUGAAGAGUUAUGUGGCAGAACAAGACAACAAAAAACAAGUCUCAUAGUCACAUAGGUAGUUGACAAAACAAGAAAUGGAGAAACUGGAAACUUAUGGUUUUCUGUUGCUUUGGAAACUCUUUAGGCCAGGCUGACACCAACCCAUUUGGAGAUGAAUGCCACUUAACAGAACCGUGCCCCUCCCCCUUGGCUUCUCAUAUUACUGUUGGUGUUAGUUCUACCAUUUUAUAAGAUUUAUAAUUAUAAAUUUAUAAUAAAAGUUUUUCUCAAGUA